AAACGACUCUCGGCAACGGAUAUCUCGGCUCACGCAUCGAUGAAGAACGUAGCAAAAUGCGAUACUUGGUGUGAAUUGCAGAAUCCCGUGAACCAUCGAGUUUUUGAACGCAACUUGCGCCCGAAGCCAUUCGGCCGAGGGCACGUCUGCCUGGGCGUCACGCA
RNAcentral lists this ribosomal RNA (164 nucleotides) under Berardia subacaulis. RNAcentral describes it as "5.8S ribosomal RNA". It matches the Rfam family "5.8S ribosomal RNA". Rfam says of the family: 5.8S ribosomal RNA (5.8S rRNA) is a component of the large subunit of the eukaryotic ribosome. It is transcribed by RNA polymerase I as part of the 45S precursor that also contains 18S and 28S rRNA. The record is from RNAcentral. Lineage: Eukaryota; Viridiplantae; Streptophyta; Magnoliopsida; Asterales; Asteraceae.